GACGAACGCUGGCGGCGUGCUUAACACAUGCAAGUCGAACGGUAAGGCCCUUCGGGGUACACGAGUGGCGAACGGGUGAGUAACACGUGGGUGAUCUGCCCUGCACUUCGGGAUAAGCCUGGGAAACUGGGUCUAAUACCGGAUAGGACCACUGCCUGCAUGGGUGGUGGUGGAAAGCUUUUGCGGUGUGGGAUGGGCCCGCGGCCUAUCAGCUUGUUGGUGGGGUGAUGGCCUACCAAGGCGACGACGGGUAGCCGGCCUGAGAGGGUGACCGGCCACACGGGGACUGAGAUAAGGCCCAGACUCCGACGGGAGGCAGCAGUGGGGAAUAUUGCACAAUGGGCGCAAGCCUGAUGCAGCGACGCCGCGUGAGGGAUGACGGCCGUCGGGUUGUAAACCUCUUUCAGCACCGACGAAGCGCAAGUGACGGUAGGUGCAGAAGAAGGACCGGCCAACUACGUGCCAGCCGCCGCGGUAA
RNAcentral lists this ribosomal RNA (478 nucleotides) under uncultured bacterium. RNAcentral's name for it is "partial 16S ribosomal RNA". It matches the Rfam family "Bacterial small subunit ribosomal RNA", at positions 28 to 523 of the family's 1533-position model. The record is from RNAcentral.